Molecule: ribosomal RNA, 256 nt
Filed under: uncultured bacterium
Lineage: Bacteria
Description: partial 16S ribosomal RNA
Rfam family: Bacterial small subunit ribosomal RNA
Source: RNAcentral
UACGUAGGGACCAAGCGUUGUCCGGAAUCAUUGGGCGUAAAGGGCGCGUAGGUGGCCCGGUCAGUUCGUGGUGAAAGCGCGGGGCUCAACCCUGCGUCGGCCAUGAAUACUGCCGCGGCUGGAGCACUGUAGAGGCAGGCGGAAUUCCGGGUGUAGCGGUGGAAUGCGUAGAGAUCCGGAAGAACACCGGUGGCGAAGGCGGCCUGCUGGGGCAGUUGCUGACACUGAGGCGCGACAGCGUGGGGAGCAAACAGGG